Molecule: long non-coding RNA, 217 nt
Filed under: Olea europaea (common olive)
Lineage: Eukaryota; Viridiplantae; Streptophyta; Magnoliopsida; Lamiales; Oleaceae
Description: long non-coding RNA (OEUR_LNC013872)
Source: RNAcentral
AAUGGGCGUGGGAGUAGCCCAACGAUGCGGGACGGUGACGUUCAGAAUCCGACGAGUUAUUCGUGAUCCGAUUGUAAAAUAAUUACCAACCGGUGCUCGCAAAUAUAUAUGUAUAAAGUGUAUAAACUCGAUUUAUAUAUUGCAAGUAACUGAGAGAGUUGAGUAAAUAUAGUCUUUUGUAUUGAUUCUUGCAUUAGCCUUUGACAUUAUACAAUGG